AAAAAUAAAAGAAGAAAAAGAAAAACAUGGUUGGUCAAAACAAACGUUAAAUAAAAAAGAAGCAACGGUUCAAGUUUGCUGCCGAGCUCUGAACGGUAUGACUACAGCGUGAAAGAGGCCCCCAACAUGCACACGUGAAGGGCCAACACGGCAGUUAGUCAACCAUGCGUUCCCAAAGCAACGGCAUCUCAACUACUAAGAGCCCGCACACAAACACACACAAGUCGUAAUGAUUGUUAUUAGGAUCAUUUUUCUCUUCUGUGUGUUUUUUUUUCCUGCUCUCUCACGCCCCUCCAGCGGCGGCCUGAUUGACGCCUUAACAACUGGUGGUGUAGCCCGGACGAUGAGGAUGUGCCACCAUCUGCAUCACACACAUCUCAGCUGGAUUGUAACCAGCCCGUAUGUGUUUCUCUCUCACAUGCAAUGACCUGCUUUUAGUGCGACCGCAUGGCUGUGAAAAUGAUCCCAUUGAGAAAUAACUUUUUUUUUAAUGAAAAAGGAACCCUCCCCGGAGAGAUGUGCGGUUGUGAUGGACGACGGCUGACGUCGUUCCUAUUAUCCAAUUAAGGUCUCCGCAACAGGCGACGAGUGAUGAACGUGAAACAAUCUAAAGGAAUACUAUCACCAAGAUGAAGACGGAUCGAUUUUCUACAAAGCGAUGACGGAAUGUCGGGUUGGCUGUUUGCGAGAUUCUUAAAGCGCACUGAAAUGCGGAAGUGAUAAAAUGGAUGGCGUGUGUGUUUUGAGUACGUGACCGCCAUUUAGACUUCUCAACACGCAGCCCAGCACCGACCGCUCACGAAAGGUGGAGACCAGCAACAGAUGGUGGAACGCGAAAUAAGAACUUGACCAUCUAGUGAACCGAUGAAAUUGGCCUUGUUUUUAUCUAAUAACAGAUGUCGUCCACUUUUUAAAUAAGUAUUCUUUUUUUUCUGAAGGGGCUUCUAAAGAGAAAUAUUAACCGUUGGGAUAUUAACCACAAGGCCACAGGUACGUUGCAAAUCUAUUAACCAAAACGCGUCAAUCAAACGUCCCACCAAACAGUUGCCAGUCCUGUUUUCUCCAGAUAUUAUUAUGAUUUCCGGAUUCAUCACUCAACGAUGCGUGUCUAUAUCGCAGCUGAAAAUGGAACAUGUAUCAAAACUAUCGCCAGCCAAUUUUUGUUUCUUGUUCGAACCCGUCACCACUUUGUUGCUGACCAACUAACACACAAUGAGCAACGGUCACUAUUAAUAGAAAACCGGAUGGGCCUCAAUUUCCGGGCAAUAAAUUUGCAUUCAACUUAAACCCCAUAAAGAAAAAAAAAGAAUCUUUGAUUUAGAAUUGAUUGAAAUUUCUUACCGGUAGUUGAGGUGUGUGUUGGGACCUAGGGCGACACAAGGAGGAUGGCGAAUGCAACUCUGCUGCAGGUGACUUGAAAAAAUAGCCACCAAAAAAAUUUAAAUAAAUAUUCUCCUCGGGUAGAUUGUGCUAGUGGAGGAGGGAGUAGUAAAAAAACCGAUGUGUAGCUCACGAAUGCUUGUCAACUUCUGCUAUAGACUGGAUGGUCCACUAUGACUUUUAUAUAGGUUGGAAGUACGCUCCGGGGACGCUCUGUUAUACAGCGCACCGCCUCUCUACGCCUGUUGGUCGUAUGCUGGAACAUGUGGAGGAGGAGGGCCAGCAGCAGCAACAGCAGCAGUAGUGCUGGAAUGUUGGAAAUAAAACAAAAAAGAAAAAAAAAACCCACAACAGAAGGUACGUCAAGACACCCGAGGACCGAUGAUCUUUUGUAUACGUGUAAUACGCAAACCUGUGUGUGCUCUAUGUGGUAGUCCUUGCAGCAUGGCGCCCCACAACAGCGGCGGCGGCGGCGGCGGCGGCCCGACGGCGCAAUCGUCGACCAUAUUGGCCAACUGCCGGGUUUCCUUAACUAAUGUAAAAAGAAAGAGAAAUAAGAAGCGGUCGCAAGAGAAGCCCACCUGUUGGACGUGACUGACCGGCGUUUUUUCUUGGACUCUUGUGUUGUGUAACUUUUGAAAUAGGGGCUCUGUGUGUGCACAGCUUCAGAAAUUCUCUCUCUAACGGCAUAGGCACUUACACCUUUAAAGAUAUUUUUCUCUCCACCGUCUUUCAAUUCUUUCAUCCGUUUGAGCUAUUUUUGUUGAAUGACACUAGACUUUUCUUCUUCCUUUCACACACUGCCAAGAUUAAUUACAAUCAUUUUAUUAUUGGUCAUCUCUUCUUCACUGCAUCAAACGCGUCUCUAAAAUGAGAUUACUUUUGUUUCCUCUUUCAAAGAUUUUUGUGUGCAAUCACCAAUAAAACGUUCCAGGAAAAAAAAACAGUUUUGUGAAUAACAUCAUAAAAAUUUGAGUUUACCAAAAUAAUUGAAACGAAAAAGAGGAAAAAAAUUACCCUGCAAUGAAAUUUGUUUUUAUCUGAAAAAGAAAACGUGUUUCAUAAUUAACCUACUGCCAGGCGCGAUUAUAUAGGCCUACCCAAUUUUCUAUUUUCGCUCUGUGUAUAAUUGGAUUACGAGUCCUUUAUUAGAUGAAACGAAUUUUUUUUUGAGCGAUGAUGACGUAACCGUUUCAUUGAGCAAUCAGCAGGUUUUGUACUUUAUACCAGCGGCCAAUUUUUCGCUUUCUGCUGUUUGAUGCGCGGAUAAUCGCGGGUUUAUCAGAUUCAACCGAAAAGAUGACGGGCAAUUUCCUGCCAGGAGCCAUUUAUCUUCCACCAAUUUUACUCGGAGAAGAGACCAUUUCGUUUUAGAAUGAGCUUUUGGUGAAAGCAAAGAACAACUGGACGGUGGACAUACUUGGAGACUUGUCUUUUCUCUUUUUCUCACGUUAGAUUUUACCAAUGUGCGCGGAAACAAUUGCAUACAUAGUCCGCUUUGGUCGACCAACUGUGACGACUCUCUUUAUUUUAGGAAUAUAUAUAUAUAACCUUUUAAAAAAAUUUACGUCGACGUCGUCGAGUUUGUAACGCAAUUUUCCCUUUUCACCUGUUGGAAAGUUUUGCUGGGCCCUCCACAAAAGAAUAAAAAAAAAAAAGAUUUCUAAAGCUCGUCGCAUAUGCGUGAAAGCUCGGAUGAUGAUUUUCCCGUUACAAUGAAACGGGUAAACUAUUAAAACUGAUGAAACAGUAUCUUUUUCUCCACUUAUAAUUUUUUGAACGUCAUUUGGCUUUGGUUGGCAACGUGCAGCUUGUUUUUUUGUUUUUAUGUGACGUCGCCUGCUGCGGUACGAAAAAAUUAUUUCAACCCCGUUAGAUGAUGAAUAUUCUCGGUUUGAAACUGAAACAACCACUUCCGUUCACCCAUAUUGCACGCGGGAAAGGGCUCGAGGCUUUUCGAUUGCCGACAGCAGGAGGAGAAGAAGAAGAUCUCUGAAAAGAAAGCUCUCUUGACUGCUGCAAAGCGGUUACAUCUGUCAUGUUCGUGGGAUGCCUGAACACUACAUCAUCAACUCUUGUUUUAAAUAGCCAUUAAUGAUGACUAGGGUUUUCCACAAUUUUCACCUCUCACGUGGAAGUGUGAUGUGUUUACCUCCUCAAGUUUCUAAUCAUUUUCGAGACACACUGGCACACUUCCUGAGCAUGGCUUUACACACAGUUUCAUUGGGUGAAAUUUUGUUGUGUGUCUGCGUAAUUGUGAUUUAGGGAGUUGAGCCACAGCAUCAGCCAAUCAAGGAAGAAGUGGGAGUCUGGUUCCAUUCGAAACAAAAGUUAUAUUCAAACCAUUGGAAACGAAACAGCAGCAAUUCCUGUCGAUGCAUCGUCUUGACGUGACGUCUGAUGAUGGGAAAAACAAGUGGACCACAUCCAUGUGCAGGUUAUUCAUUAUUUGCCUGAUGUCUGUGCCAUAUGAUGAACAGUUAAAAAAGGAAAAGAAGAGCGACAAGCCGGCGUGAAGAAAUAAGUAACAAGCUUAUACUAAAGGCACCGUAAUAAUAACAACUGAACGAGCUCUUUAUACGAGCCGUUAACCCCAUUGGGCGUUUGUCUCUCUCUCGCGGCUUCUUCCUCCCGCGUGUUUACAUUGCCUUCAUCGUCCAGAGCCUCGUCCGUUUGCCGCUGAAAAUUUACAGCAUUUCGUGAUACAAUUUCCACAGCAGGACCGACGACUGUCAGGUGGAAAUCCGUUUGCCGUUGAAUGGCCGAAUUCUCUUGUAACUUGGAAGAAGAAGAAAAAAUUGUCAUCUUUGAACUUCCAUCAUCGGUCAUGUGGCAGAAGAUGUUCGGGAUUCCAGUCAACCAGUAUAGCGAUUCGCCAUAAGAAUGUUCCGCGACCGUACGAAAAUUCUUUCGCUGCACAGCUAAUUACACCGACACAGCAAGGAGCCGAAUAAUUUCCUAUCGGAGGAGGGCGACCAACCUCAUCAUCAACAUCUGUCGCUGUGGCCUAGCUUUUGUUUCGGGCCAAAGGAGAGACUCUGCUGGAAAGAAAGAAAGAAAGAAAAAGGAAAUAAUAUCGAGUUAGGCGACAAUAUCUAUCUUUGUAUUACCACGAGUAAUAGGGUGGGGGAACAAGAAAUCCAGCGGCAAAGAUACAAAAGAGUCGAAUCAAUGUGUAACAUAAGAGAAGGAAAAAAAGAUAAACAACCCUGGUUAACUCGAUCGCGCUGCGAGCGACUCGAAAUAAUAAAAAAAAGAAUCGUGUACGACCAUUUCCGCUGGGUGGCUAGUUUAAAGGUGUACACUACGUCCGCGACCGAGCAUGCAUCCAUUUAUAGCGAUUAAAAGAAUACGAGAAAA
This is a long non-coding RNA of Daphnia pulicaria, 4740 nucleotides long. RefSeq lists it as uncharacterized. Lineage: Eukaryota; Metazoa; Arthropoda; Branchiopoda; Diplostraca; Daphniidae. The record is from RefSeq and is a predicted model, not a curated record. The transcript has 11 exons.